This 253-nucleotide ribosomal RNA is filed under the name uncultured bacterium. RNAcentral's name for it is "partial 16S ribosomal RNA". It matches the Rfam family "Bacterial small subunit ribosomal RNA", at positions 524 to 776 of the family's 1533-position model. The record is from RNAcentral. RNAcentral also lists the same sequence under 1 other name.
UACGUAGGGGGCUAGCGUUGUCCGGAAUCAUUGGGCGUAAAGAGCGCGUAGGCGGCUGGAUUAGUCCGGUGUGAAAUCCACAGGCUUAACCUGUGAAUGCCGCUGGAAACUGUCUGGCUAGAGUCCGGAAGGGGCGAGUGGAAUUCCUGGUGUAGCGGUGAAAUGCGCAGAUAUCAGGAGGAACACCAAUGGCGAAGGCAGCUCGCUGGGACGGUACUGACGCUGAGGCGCGAAAGCGUGGGGAGCGAACAGG